GCACUGCUGAAGAGUCCCAAAAUAGGACGAAACAGCUGUCCAGUAC
Molecule: non-coding RNA, 46 nt
Filed under: Trichobilharzia regenti
Lineage: Eukaryota; Metazoa; Platyhelminthes; Trematoda; Strigeidida; Schistosomatidae
Source: RNAcentral